Amblyraja radiata (thorny skate) is the source of this 3833-nucleotide long non-coding RNA. RefSeq lists it as uncharacterized. The transcript has 4 exons. The record is from RefSeq and is a predicted model, not a curated record. NCBI's taxonomy places the organism in Eukaryota, Metazoa, Chordata, Chondrichthyes, Rajiformes, Rajidae.
CCCAUUUGGGACGGCUUUCCCGUGCUGGGGGACACUUUGGGAAUAUGGGACUGUGCCCGAAAGGUGGGGGUGGAGACGCGGCUGUCAGCGGUGAAGGACACACUCCGCGCGGAGGGCAGGGGACAGAUUGACUGAGUGAAUAGCUCCCGGGGGGAAGGUCAGUACAAGGGAGAGGAACAUCCCCCCACAAGCUCGGCUUCCGCCCGCCCCAUCAGGAACUCAAGUUUGUGUGUUGUUUCUGAAGGACUCGGAAACUCAGGGCGACCUUGAGAAGAGUUGCCGGAGGACGUGGUGCAAACACAGCCAUCUUUCCACGGUUACCUGAGAUGGAAGGCGGAUUCCCAUUUAACACCACACCUGACAGUUUUCUGAUAAAGCACCCUCGGUCAAAACUCAGGACCCAGUGUUUGAGGAGAAAGGUGGCUGAGUCUUCUUCGCUAUUUGACCUGUCAACAACACCUCUCCAGUGGAAAUGAGCCAGUUACAAGUGCCCGAAUGGCCUGCACUUAUCCUUAUGUUCCCACCUGUUAAGGCUCUUGCAAUGCUGGAUUUUUCCUGCGGUUUGAGGAAGACUGAGCCGCUGGAGAAAGCCCUAGACCACCAGUGCUAUCGGUCAGGGUCAAGGCUAGACUUCCGGGAAGAUGCCCUAGACAGCUAGCACCUCUACUUGAGGCCAAGACUGAGUGGCUGGGGCAAGCCUGAGACACCAGAACCUCUUCCUGCCCCAGACAACGAGGGAUUGCGGCCACCACACACCCACAGAGGCAAAGUCUGGACAUCAGGAUAAUCCAGAGACUGCCAGCGUUGCCUCUUCAAGCUCAAAGCUGAGCUGCCAGGAAGAAACCUGUACCAUCGGCACUUGCUCGAGGCAAGGAGCAACUGCAGGAAGAAGCCUGAGAUCGCCACACCACCUCCUUCGAAGACCAGUACAGGACUAAGCUGCCGGGAGAAGCCUGAGAUGGCGAGCAUCAUCACAUAUGUGCUCUGAUGGUGAUGGACAGCGCCCCCAUGUGGUCCUGGACUUUCUUACCGCUGUAAAUAGAAUUAAUCACGUGAGUUUACCCUACUGCAAGUGUUGGUGUGGCCAAUGCCGAACCUGAUGUUGUUCCUCGAUGCCACACCGUUUAUCCUUUAAUAUCCAGAAAUCCAUUGAUUGCUAUUUUGAAUGAAUUCAAUGAACAUCCGCAGCCCUUUCUGGUAGUAAAUUCCAUAGAUUCACCAGUGAAUCCAAUUCCUGAACAGCCUAUCAUUUAUUCUCAAACUGUGACUGGUCCUCAAAAGAUCAUUUGGGAUGAGCAUCUCUCUUCAGCAGGCCUAUCCUAAAACAAUUUUGUAAAGAUUGAUAAGAUCCCCUCUUUCCCUUUGAAACUGAGAGAAUGGAGUGCUGGUCUGCUUAGCUCCUCAUCACAAACGCGCUAUUUCUAGAACCAGUCUAGUGUAUAUUCUGUGCCAAUCAAAUUGGUAUUCUGGCCUCAUCUGUUCAUAUCCCUAUCCAUUUAUAUCUCUUCAAAUGCCUUUUGAAAGUCAUCAUUUUAUCUGUUUCAGUAGCUUCCUCUGGCAGCAUUCCCAAUUCAGACUAUCCUCUGAGUGAAAAAGUUGCCCCCUAUUAAAUCUCAUCCCUCUCAACUUUAGUAUUACAAUCCUACCCAUGGAAUAGGUCAGUGAGUAUUCAUUUUAUCCAUAUCCCUCGUGAUUUUGUUUACUUGAAUAAAGUCAGCGUCCUCUGCUCCAAGGGAAAAAAAGUCCCAGCCUCUCUCUAUAACACCAGCAGAUCCAGGUAACUUCCCAGUAAAUCUUUGAUGCGCCUUUCCAAUUUAAUCACAUCCUGGAUGAACAGAACUGCACACAGUACUCCAAAUAUGUUCUUGCCAACAACAUAUAUUGCUACAACAUGAUGUCCAAACUGCAGUGUUCCCAAUGAAGGCAAGCAUGCCAAAUGCCUUCUACACCACCCUGUUACCAUUUUCAGAGAACAACGUACCUGUACCAGAUACCUCUGUUCUAUAACACUUUUGCAAGCUCUACCAUUUACUGUGCACGUUGUGCCCUGGUUUGAGAUACCAAAGUGCAAAACCUCAUCCAAGUCUGAGUUAAAUUCUAUUUGCCAUUCCUUUGGCCAUGUUCCCAUUGGGGUCAAGGGAUGGGAAUCGACAGUAAGGAGAAUGGAGGCAAUAAAUCAUAACAGCUAAUGCCUUUCUUCAGAACAACCUAUUCAUAUUAUUGUACAUCAGAUUUAUUUUUCCUACAAAAUGUCUACAUGCUCAUCGCAGUUCAAGGGGGCAAAUAUAUUGCUUCCAAAAGAAUGCUAACAAUUGCCUUAAACUUUGUGGGGAAUUGAAUAUUUGCCACCCAUCACAAGCAACCCCAGCAUUGAAGUGUUUAGUUGCAUUUCCUGUUGACUUCAAAUUUCAUCAAGACUUUUUUUAAACAAAAGUUGUGGUAGAGUGCAUUGUACUUUUCAUUGUUAACAUUUUAUUUGGCGGGGUGGGCAUAGUUGCAAUAUUUUAUUGCUUAUAAUACAACAGCUUAUAAUACAAGUAUGAAUGAUUUGUUCAACAAUGAGUCUGAAUGCUUCUGUUAUGUAUUUAAUAGCAAAGACAGACUGAAAAGAUUAAGCAGUUUUUCCCUGAUGGGGCUAGCUUUUAAAUUAUAACUGUAGACAAAUGUUCCAUUAUGUAGCUGGGAUUUUUAUCAGUCUUGCCACAACAGAAAAGCUUUGUUUAUAUGUUGAAUGUAUUUGGUUUCAGCAAGUUUCAAACAGAUGGGGGAACAGUAGACAUUGGCACAAAGCAGUUUGCACUCCUUCCACUCAUUAAUGUCAUGGUUCCACUGUAGAGAUUGAUCGCUGGAAGAGGCUGUUCUUUGUGCAUGCAUUUCAGUGAACUGAUACCAAUUGCAUUUUACAUUUAAUCGGGUCAUUUCUCUACUGAAAGGAAAUUUAAAUGAACAGAAGAGACCCUACUGCAUUUGAUUUAACAGAGUGUCAACACUAGUAAUGCAUUACUCUUCUCCAGUCCCAACACAAUGCUCCCAACAAAAUGCAGAAAUACGAGUUAAAUGGAGUCUUACCUAACCUUGCAGUUAGCUUCCUGCAGGAAUAAAUCUACGCAGAGGACAAUGGGAAACGAUUCUACCUGUGUUCAAUUUGCACACCAACAACAAAAGCACUUCACUUUUGCAGCACGGUCAUGUUUGUGAGUAGUUCCUAUUCAUCUUCAAUUGAUUUACUGAAGUUUAUAUGAGAAUGUCCCUUAUACUUAACAUCAGAUAUGGGACAAAACUCAUGGUUUACUGGGCAGAGGUAAUCCCACCCCUGAUGUGUUUCUGAGACUUUGACUAUCUUGCACCAGGUUUCUGGAGACAUUAGAAUGAUAUCACCAACUCUUUCUCUGAAUAAUUCUUAAAUCCAUUGCCAGGAUAAGCAAACUAUUGUUCUCCUCAGGCCCACAUCCACAGUAAUGAGGCCCCAAUAUACUCAUGUACAUAGGGGAGACUAUAUUGUUAGACUCAAUGCUAGACUCCUGAAAUAGACACUUUUCAUGACCAGCCAGAGAUUACCAGGCAAACUUAGAAUAAUGUUCAAAGGUAUAUUCAAGGUCUCUGUGAAGAAAUGCUCGGCGGCGCAGCAGAAGAGCUGCUGCCUCACAGCGAUAGAGACCGGGUUCGAUCCCAUUUUUAUUCCCCCUGCAUUUGCUUCAGAUUCCACCAGUGACCUACAUGCUGGGGGCAUCUAACUGUGACCCAUUAACUACGGGUGCUGUCUGUGUGGAGUUUGUACGUUCUCCCUGGUACCGCAUGGGUGUGCUCUGGAUGCUCUGGUUUCCUCCCACAUU